GACAUCGCCCGGCUACGUGCAGGCGUCGCAAUCGCAGUCCAAAACGGCGGCAGUCCAUCAACGAGACGCAUCCAAAUGCGUGGGAAAUGUGCGCCGGCCUUGCUUUGAAGUCGGGCCUGUUGCGGAGUCGGUUGGAAAGGCUAUUUGCGGAAUUUCAAAGGCAAAAACUGUGCAUACUCAUCGCUCACACACACACACACACACACACUUACAGCUACGCACACAUAGCAACAAUACAAACACCCGCCUUGUACAUAAAUUGCAUGCAUUUUUUUGCUAGUGAAAGCUGCUUAAUGUGUGCACACACUGGCCGGCAUUACAACUACUGUGACCCUGUCUAGCGUAAUUUGCCGGAAUUACACGCACACGCACGCACGCACACAAAGAGCCGACUCAAAUUGGCAUGUAACUGUCGCAAAGCGUGCACACACUGGCAACAAUGUGACCCCCUGCUGAGCGCAAUCAUGAAAACCAAAACAAAGCGCGCUGCGCUGCGCAUUGUGUGAUUAAAUUUGCAAAUAAGGCUAAAGAAGCAUAAUUGUCACAUAAUAGACGCAAAACUUGGCUUGCACUUGCACGUUAAUUGGCCUAAAAAAAAAAAAAAAAAAACAAAACAAAAACACAAAAUAAAUAUAAAAAAAAUGAAUCAUCGGCAACAACAAUUGGCGCGUUUCGUAGGCGACUCGCAACGAUUUGGACUUCCUUUUUUGUGGGGCGGCCGCCACAUGAUUGUCGCCAUUGAGACGGCACGACAACUGCAACUGCAACUGCAACGUGACGCAUGAGCAGUGGCAGCAAUAACAAGUAAGCUGUUGGGAGUGCCCGACUGGCAGAUACCCAGCAACCAUUGCCGAGCUUCUGCCUCGCUUAGCCUCACACUACCUCGGUGCUUAUGGUCCGAUCUUUAUGAAGUUUUCGAGGCAUACCAAUUAUCAUCAUAAUAAGAAAUCAACCGAGAGAGAAGCAGAAAUAGGCGGACUUGAUAAACAUACUUAAAGGAGUCGGAGACGCCGCCCUCUGCUCAUAACAUGCACAUGCAAAAACGCAUUGGACCCCUUUUAAAAGAAGCAAUUGGUAGCAGCAGCAAAUGCUCUUUAACCUUUGCCCACCCUAGCACCCGGCCCUCGGCCUGCGCAGCCCAUGUGGUUUCUAUUUUGGACUUGCGACAAAUAUAGAGAGCGCAAUCCCUAAGACGAAUGACCGUUAAUGGAGACAUUUGUGUGCGUCUAGGGGUUGGGGGGUUAAAAGUAUUUAUAAACAUGCAUGUGCAUAUGCAUAGAUAUUGACAACUUGCCUGAAACGAUCUUGAUCUUAGCUGUGGCACAUGCCGCAAAACGCGGCCAGUUCAAUAACAAUGGCCAGCGCUGAACAAAGGCGAAUUUUCAAUUGUGGCGCGCACAGUGGCGGCCACUUACAAGAACUUUAACACGCCAGAGUUCAAAUUAGUCAGCAACACUCCAUAAAUCAGACAACGGAAAACAAUCAUAAAGUAACCGACCUGGCACCGGGCCACCAGGCCACCGAGCUCAGUGCCUUGCCAUGCACAGAUCUGGCGCUCUCUGGACACACGGCCAGCUGCGCCGCAACAACUGCCAACUGGCCAAUCGAGUUGGGCCGCCCGCUGCUCUGGGUCGAGCGAUUAGCAUACAAUUUGCGAGGCAAGUUGUUUUUGUUGCUGUUGUUGUUAUUGUUGCAUUGACAGCAAUAAAUAAUAAAAUUGCAUUGCAAUGCACUUUGCCAGGCGGAUUAAUCGCUGAGCUGAACAAACUGCACCAAAGGAUGGGUGAGCUAACAAAAGGAAUGCAUAAACUAAGUAUCAAGUAUCAGGUAUCAGCUAGAUUAAAUCAAUAUAUCAAACUAAUCAGUUACUUUCCUCUAGGUUCAUAAGCAAUGGCAAUGCAAUGCACUUUGUCAGUCGAAUAAAUCGCAAAGCUAAAUAAACUGCAGCAAUAGUUAACAGAAGGAAUGUAUAAAGUGUGUCUACAAUCAGCUUGAUUGGAAUAAUAUAUUAAGCUAAUCGGUUUCUUAUGUAUUCCGGGUAUUACAUAGUGCGCUACAAAACGAAGCAGAGAUGUGUUUGCAAAGCACUUUGCCAGGCGGAUAAAACGCAAAACUAAACAAACUGCUAACUGUAUUCAUGGUGGGGAAACUAAGGUGACUAAGAAAUUGUCGAGCAUUAAUUAAUUUAAUAACACAUACACAAGGAUGCUUUUACCCUAUUUUCAGUGUAUUCAAAAGCUUGUGUACUCGCCUGGGCAAGCAUAUUUAUAGGGUGGCAUAGCCAUAAAAAAUAACUGGCGUCUGUUGUUAUUGUUGUUGUUGCUGUUGCUGCUGCGGCACAGUGUCGUACAAAUUGCACCGUUAAUAAAGUCAAAAUCGGAUUAGGCACGCCUCGGCCGACGCCUGCUUCCCUGCCCGUUGCCCCUAGCUGACCAACGGACCCAAAUGGAGCUCAGCUGCAGGCCCGUGGCCAAGUGGCCAACAGUUGGUCAACUGGACACACACUUGCAGAUUGGAGCCCACAGAUGCAGAUAGAUAUUUGAUCUCUUGGCCGAAAAUGCCAAACAAUAAAUUGGCACUAAUGAAUUUGAUUCAUUUCGAUUUGCUUUUGGCAAUAACUAAAUCAACAUUGCGGGCUGACAGUUGUCAUAAGGCAAGACUGACCCAUAUGUGUCCGACGGUAGGAAAAGGAGUGCCAGCAGUGAAAAAAUUAUGAACAUAACUAAGCGCAUAUCUUGAUAGAUUUAACAAAACUGCGAAUUGUAGUUACAAGCUGAUCGCAAGAUAUAUCAAAUUGAAUAAAUCAACAUUCGGAAUGUACAAGUCAACAAACAUUCAGCUAAACAUGUCCUUCAAAUUCCUAGCUUGGCAAGCAAAUAGCAUAAUAUAAAUAUGACAUAAUUUAUGGGCUACAUAUUAUUAUAUGUCAUUUUAAAAGUUGUUUUAGUAAAUUAUUUAAGCUAUGGUACUGAGAAAUACAAAUAAGCGUCGACUUCA
Drosophila virilis is the source of this 2997-nucleotide non-coding RNA. NCBI's taxonomy places the organism in Eukaryota, Metazoa, Arthropoda, Insecta, Diptera, Drosophilidae. The record is from RefSeq and is a predicted model, not a curated record.